RNAcentral lists this ribosomal RNA (330 nucleotides) under uncultured eukaryote. Its description in RNAcentral is "partial 18S ribosomal RNA". It matches the Rfam family "Eukaryotic small subunit ribosomal RNA", at positions 1470 to 1796 of the family's 1831-position model. The record is from RNAcentral.
CCCCUAGAUGUUCUGGGCCGCACGCGCGCUACACUGAUGAAUUCAACGAGCUCCUAACCUAGGCCGAAGGGUCCGGGUAAUCUUUGAAAUUUCAUCGUGAUGGGGAUAGAUUAUUGCAAUUAUUAAUCUUCAACGAGGAAUUCCUAGUAAGCGCGAGUCAUCAGCUCGCGUUGAUUACGUCCCUGCCCUUUGUACACACCGCCCGUCGCUCCUACCGAUUGAAUGGUCCGGUGAAAUGUUCGGACCGCGACAAGGCGGACGGUUCGCUGUCAGCUUUGCUGCGGGAAGUUCAUUAAACCUUAUCAUUUAGAGGAAGGAGAAGUCGUAACA